Long non-coding RNA from Eurytemora carolleeae, 163 nucleotides. RefSeq lists it as uncharacterized. NCBI's taxonomy places the organism in Eukaryota, Metazoa, Arthropoda, Copepoda, Calanoida, Temoridae. The transcript has 2 exons. The record is from RefSeq and is a predicted model, not a curated record.
UCUUUAGGAACCAAGAAUUGUAUGCAAAAUAUCAAACGCUAGCUAAAGACGAGCCAGGCGUCACAUUUGUAGGACGCUUAGCCAGCUAUAAAUAUUUCAAUAUGGACCAGGCGAUAUUGAAUGCUCUUGAACUGUUCGAUGGUCUCGUUUCUGAUGGAAAACU